AGUGUGAAACUCAAAUGAAUUGACGGGCCCCCGCACAAGCGGUGGAGCAUGUGGUUUAAUUGGAACCAACGCGCAGAACCUUACCAACACUUGACAUCUUGCUGAUUGAUGUAGAAAUAUUGAGGUGCUUUCCGCAGCAGAGACAGGUGCUGCAUGGCUGUCGUCAGCUCGUGUCGUGAGAUGUUGGGUUAAGUCCCGCAACGAGCGCAACCCUCGUUUUUAGUUGCCAUCAUUUAGUAUUGGCACUCUAGAAAGACCGCCGGUGAUAAACGGGAGGAAGGUGUGGAUGACGUCAAGUCAUCAUGCCCUUUACACCUUGGGGUACACACGUACUACAAUGCUACGGACAUAGGCCAGCAAACUCGCGAGACCUAGCAAAUCCCUAAACCGUGGGUCAGUUCAGAUCGUAGGCUGCAACUCGCCUACGUGAAGUAGGAAUCGAUAGUAAUCGCAGGUCAGCAUUCUGCGGUGAAUACGUUC
RNAcentral lists this ribosomal RNA (480 nucleotides) under uncultured cyanobacterium. RNAcentral's name for it is "bacterial SSU rRNA". It matches the Rfam family "Bacterial small subunit ribosomal RNA", at positions 891 to 1373 of the family's 1533-position model. Lineage: Bacteria; Bacillati; Cyanobacteriota. The record is from RNAcentral.